This 555-nucleotide long non-coding RNA is filed under the name Malus domestica (apple). RNAcentral describes it as "long non-coding RNA (MDOM_LNC020066)". Lineage: Eukaryota; Viridiplantae; Streptophyta; Magnoliopsida; Rosales; Rosaceae. The record is from RNAcentral.
CAAUAUAUUUGCAAACGCUAUCCAAAACUUGACAAAGAAAAGCCGAAUGCUUUAGUUUCCGGACUUGGUACAACAAUCCCAAAGAUUGUCUUAAAUGGAUUGUAUAUGUACCUAAGUAGUCUCAUCCUCACAAUCUUCCAAUUGAUAAUGUAUCAUUGGAAGAAAAUGUUAGAUAAGUCUAUCAUAAGGAGGACAACACUUUUAAUGUCAUAAUUCUUCACUUACAAAUCGUUGUAUGAAGAAAUAAGAGUUGCUUUGAACAACCCUUAGUCAAUGCAAACACUAGUGCUUGUUUCUUUGUUAAAUGAACAAAGAACUUGAGAAGAAAGCACAAUGGCAUGGACACUUUAUGUGCCAUGAUUCUUCACUUACAAAUUGUUGUAUGAAGAAAUGAAAGUUUGUAAUUAUGUUUAGAACAUAAUGGUUGGGUGACAAAAAUAGUCCAUCAACAUGGACUUAUGAUGAUUUUGAAUCAUUGAAUGUUGAAGUGAUAAACCACUUAACGAGACGGAAACUAGGCAAGGACUUCACCUUUGUGUCCCUAUCCUAAUGGUU